AGGCAAAUUUGUAGAGUUGGGUGUGAAUUUCACUGAGUCUGAAAGUAAAUAUUUUCAAGUAAUGAAACUGAAAAAGCCACCAAUCCAAGAAGACUGGUGUCCUUAACCCAUGAAAGUCCAACUGGAGAUCCUUCCAUAUUCAGUCUUCUUUGUGGAGCCAAACUGGAGACGCCACCCCCUCCAUUACUGUUGUGGGAAGCCUGAGGGCUCAGCACCAUAAAAGCUGCCCCUAUCGAAGCCAUCACUAGAAAGAGGUAGAAGAAUGUCACAUCCUUAUUGGACCACUGAAUAUCAAACCAUAAAUGCACGUUUUUGUGGAAUAAAAAUCCACUUCUUCAGCUAUACACCAGUGCAGGAAAAAAAAUAUAAAUGGACGUCGUAAAAAUUCGUGGCAGAAGUUGCCAGGUACAAUCUUUUAAAGGUGUGUUUAAAACGGGUUAUAGACAGGCUGUCGUGGCGUGGUCGGAAGUUUCCACUCAGUAUUCAGAUGGGGCAGCCCAUCGCUCUAGCUUUCUUUCAAAAAGGAAUUCCUUAUCUGUGGGUUGUGUGUGAGAGUCACACAGGGCUGGCGCUGGCCUCACCCCCUCAAACUUCCAAAUUGGGUUACUUAGUUUUGUGAUCAGUCUGCAGGCCAUGAACUUGGCCUUAGACACAUCUCAUCUUGAACACUCAUGCAGAUUCAGCUCUGGGCUAUCCAUCCAUCCGUCCGUCCGUCCGUCCGUCCGUCCGUCCGUCCGUCCGUUCUGUCUCUCUCUGUCUCUCUCUCUCUCUCUCUCUCUCUCUCUCUCUCUCUCUCUCUCUCUCUCUCUCUAUCUAUCUAUCUAUCUAUCUAUCUAUCUAUCUAUCUAUCUAUCUAUCUAUCUAUCUAAACUUACAUACCGCCCCCUAGUGCCAUGCUACCAAAUUUCAAUGGCUAUGAAAGGGCUGGUCUACAUUUGUUGUUGUUUAGACUAAACAACUAAACAACAAACUGGUGGAAGAGGCAUGGCCAUUCGGAUUAACUGGUCAUUCUUCAAGACGGAAUCCUAGAAUCAUGGAGCUGGAAGGGGCCUCUAAGGCCAUCAAUCCAUGCCUCUGCUCAAUGCAGGAGUCUAAAUCCAAGCAGAUCGGACAGAGGGUGGUCCCAUUUUCUUUUGAAUGCCUCUUGCACUGGAACACUCACCACCUCCCAAGGUCACGGGUUCUGUCAUCGUACUGUUCUAACAGUUAAGAACUUUGUUUCCCAUGAUAUUCAGCCUAACUGUCUUCCUGCUGCUUGAACCCAUGAUUAUCAAUAAAGUCCCAAAGAACUUCA
Molecule: long non-coding RNA, 1294 nt
Filed under: Pogona vitticeps (central bearded dragon)
Lineage: Eukaryota; Metazoa; Chordata; Lepidosauria; Squamata; Agamidae
Description: lncRNA (ENSPVIG00000003403.1)
Source: RNAcentral